Molecule: long non-coding RNA, 874 nt
Organism: Myzus persicae (green peach aphid)
Lineage: Eukaryota; Metazoa; Arthropoda; Insecta; Hemiptera; Aphididae
Exons: 2
Source: RefSeq, a predicted model, not a curated record
GCCGCAGCCGUAUACGUUAUUAUUGUUAUUCGGACUUCGGAGCUCCAGCAGUCCAGCCUAGUCUCGGUCCUCGGAUAUGGCCACGACCUCCGUUUGCCGUGCUGCCGUACCGAUCACCGAGUUUGGGAGCCAAUAAUUCGGUACUGCUUGAAAAAUUCACUUAAUUUGGAAAUUUUUCACCUAAAAUUUUUGGAGGCGCCUCUGAUUGCCUCCUGAUAACAGGGACGGCAGUCACCAUAGAUAAUAUAUUAAUAAAAUACCGCAGUAUCACGUUAUCACGCAGAAUUUUUCUGUUUUUAAUGUUUUUAAUGUUUUUAUUUUCAUUUACCCGCAUUACGCGAUUCGACGGAGGAAACUCGGUAUUCGAUUAUCGUUAGAUCUACUACACUCUUCCACGGUCUUCAAUCUAUCAGCUUCUAAGACCUUGCUCUACAAGUCUACACACCACGACGAAAAAACAUGGUUUACACUGUCUCUACUUGGGCUAUGACGUCUCGGAAUAGUCGGAACGUUUAGCGGACGCCGAGGCAGUGAUGUAAGAUGUUGAGCGCUUUCGAAUCGUCCAUUUGUCCCGUAUUCCACACGCUCGGUGUGGAUAACCUGCGUCGACGCGCUCUAGGAAAUAGGAAUACUUAAGUACAUCGAGAAUUCGAGACCAUGGGUAAACAUUCAGCGAUGUUUGAAACGUGGUAACCGCCUUACCAGUUCGUGCUGUCUCGUAAUAUCGUCGUGGUAAUACGUCGUAACCUUAGAUUAUGGGUAAUGGUCGUAAGUCGUAACCAUGCGAUUCAAAUUUUUGAGCGAUUUCGCGGUUCGAGCCCCUAGGCGUCGAAUAUCUCCCAGACGAGCGAAUAAUUCGCAUCCCAAUAACGAG